GUCAUGUGACUGACGGAAGUGGACUAACCACAUGGGAGCAUGAUAUCGAAAAGCCGACCGUCUGGGCAA
Molecule: non-coding RNA, 69 nt
Filed under: Megasphaera hominis
Lineage: Bacteria; Bacillati; Bacillota; Negativicutes; Veillonellales; Veillonellaceae
Description: ZMP/ZTP riboswitch
Rfam family: ZMP/ZTP riboswitch aptamer (pfl RNA motif)
About the family: Previously known as pfl RNA.
Source: RNAcentral